Long non-coding RNA from Neltuma alba, 200 nucleotides. RefSeq lists it as uncharacterized. The record is from RefSeq and is a predicted model, not a curated record. Lineage: Eukaryota; Viridiplantae; Streptophyta; Magnoliopsida; Fabales; Fabaceae. The transcript is spliced from 3 exons.
GAUGCAUCAUCUUUCUUAGUUGGCCACUCCUUAUCACCCUCAGACGAAUGGGUUAGCUGAAGUCUCUAACCGGGAAGUGAAACGAAUACUUGAGAAGAUUGUGAAACCAUCCCGUAAGGACUGGAGUGAAAGGCUUGAGGAAGCUCUUUGGGCUUACAGGACUGCCUACAAGACCCCUAUAGGCAUGUCCCCCUUCCGGU